GAUGAACGCUAGCGGCAGGCUUAAUACAUGCAAGUCGUGGGGCAGCAUGAGUAGCAAUACUUGAUGGCGACCGGCAAACGGGUGAGGAACACGUACACAACCUUCCUUCAAGCGGGGAAUAGCCCAGAGAAAUUUGGAUUAAUACCCCAUAAUAUAUUUGAUAAGGCAUCUUAUUAAUAUUAAAGCUUCGGCACUUGAUGAUGGGUGUGCGGCUGAUUAGAUAGUUGGCGGGGUAACGGCCCACCAAGUCUACGAUCAGUAGCUGAUGUGAGAGCAUGAUCAGCCACACGGGCACUGAGACACGGGCCCGACUCCUACGGGAGGCAGCAGUAAGGAAUAUUGGACAAUGGACGAAAGUCUGAUCCAGCCAUGCCGCGUGAAGGAUUAAGGUCCUCUGGAUUGUAAACUUCUUUAUAUGGGACGAAAAAGGG
This 431-nucleotide ribosomal RNA is filed under the name uncultured bacterium. RNAcentral describes it as "bacterial SSU rRNA". It matches the Rfam family "Bacterial small subunit ribosomal RNA", at positions 28 to 455 of the family's 1533-position model. The record is from RNAcentral.